CCUACGGGAGGCUGCAGUAGGGAAUAUUCCGCAAUGGGGGGAACCCUGAUGCAGCAACGCCGCGUGAGUGAAGAAGUAUCUCGGUACGUAAAGCUCUGUCGUCAGGGAAGAAAGUGACGGUACGUGGCUAAUUCACCCCGACUAACUACGUUCCAGCAGCGGCGGUAAUACGUAGGGGGCAAGCGUUGUCCGGAUUUAUUGGGUUUAACGGGGGCGCGGGCGGAGGGAAAAGUCAGCGGUAAAAUCCCGGGGCUUAACCCGGCUCCGCCGUGGAAACUGUGUCCCUUGAGUGCGCGAAGGGUAGGCGGAAUGCGAUGUGUAGCGGUGAAAUGCAUAGAUAUAACGAAGAACUCCGAUCGCGAAGGCAGCUCACCGGCGCGUAACUGACGCUCAUGCACGAAAGCGUGGGUAUCGAACAGGAUUAGAUACCCCAGUAGUC
Molecule: ribosomal RNA, 439 nt
Filed under: uncultured bacterium
Lineage: Bacteria
Description: partial 16S ribosomal RNA
Rfam family: Bacterial small subunit ribosomal RNA
Source: RNAcentral